Molecule: ribosomal RNA, 394 nt
Filed under: uncultured bacterium
Lineage: Bacteria
Description: partial 16S ribosomal RNA
Rfam family: Bacterial small subunit ribosomal RNA
Source: RNAcentral
AUACGGAGGAUGCAAGCGUUAUCCGGAUUUAUUGGGUUUAAAGGGUGCGUAGGCGGAUGAUUAAGCGAGAGGUGAAAUGCCACGGCUCAACAGUGGAACUGCCUCGCGAACUGGUUGUCUUGACUGGUCCUGCCGUGGGAGGAAUGUGUGGUGUAGCGGUGAAAUGUAUAGAGCUCACACAGAACACGGAUUGCGAAGGCAGCUCACGAAGGGGCGAUGGACGCUGAGGCACGAAAGCGGGGGGAUCAAACAGGAUUAGAUCCCCUGGUAGUCCACGCAGAAAACGAUGACAACUAACCGCGGGGUCGUAGUGAUUCAGUGUCCAAGCGAACGCGAUAAGUUAUCCACCUGGGGAGUACGACCGCAAGGUUGAAACUCAAAUGAAUUGGCGGGG